This 490-nucleotide long non-coding RNA is filed under the name Gopherus agassizii (Agassiz's desert tortoise). RNAcentral's name for it is "lncRNA (ENSGAGG00000024453.1)". The record is from RNAcentral. Lineage: Eukaryota; Metazoa; Chordata; Testudines; Testudinidae.
CAUGCUCCAAAACGUCUGUUAGUCUAUAAGGUGCCACAGGAUUCUUUGCUGCUUUUACAGAUCCAGACUAACACGGCUACCCUCUGAUUGUUGAGAUGGCUUCCUUUCAGGUAUAUGCAAGAGAAUUGAUUUUUCUUUUCUAACCAGCAGAUCUAAAGUCUUCAACUUAGACUAACUGAAUGGCAAAGCAAAGGAAGAGUAAGAAGCAAAGGACAAAUAUAAACUGACGUUAAUUUUUUUUUUAAUUACAGGUAAUGGGACAUUGAUCGGAGCAUCUGCAAAUGUGGUUUGUGCAGGAAUUGCAGAACAGCAUGGCUAUGGCUUCUCUUUCAUGGAGUUUUUCAGAUUUUAGUGACUGCUCCUGCUGCUCCCUGAUACCUGGUAUCUCUUCGUGCUCCUAAGCAAAUGCCAUUUCCCUUCACUUGGACACAUACCAGCUUCUGUCAGACGUAAGUCUCGCCAAAGCCUCUUAAACGUGGUCAAGUGGUCC